GGCGCGGUGGCCUAGAGGUAGGGCGUCUGUCUCGUAAACAGAAGAUCGAGGGUGCGACUCCCUCUCGUGCCU
Asterias rubens (European starfish) is the source of this 72-nucleotide non-coding RNA. Lineage: Eukaryota; Metazoa; Echinodermata; Asteroidea; Forcipulatida; Asteriidae. The record is from the annotation of a RefSeq genome assembly.